UACGAGGGGGGCGAGCGUUGUUCGGAAUUAUUGGGCGUAAAGGGUGCGUAGGCGGCCUGACAAGUCUGAUGUGAAAUCCCUGGGCUCAACCCAGGGCCUGCAUCGGAAACUGUCGGGCUUGAGUAUGGGAGAGGUGAGUGGAAUUUCCGGUGUAGCGGUGAAAUGCGUAGAUAUCGGAAGGAACACCUGUGGCGAAAGCGGGUUGCUGGGCUGACACUGACGCUGAUGCGCGAAAGCUAGGGGAGCGAACGGG
Molecule: ribosomal RNA, 253 nt
Filed under: uncultured bacterium
Lineage: Bacteria
Description: partial 16S ribosomal RNA
Rfam family: Bacterial small subunit ribosomal RNA
Source: RNAcentral